UGCAAGUCGAACGAUGAACCACUUCGGUGGGGAUUAGUGGCGAACGGGUGAGUAACACGUGGGCAAUCUGCCCCUCACUUCGGGACAAGCCCUGGAAACGGGGUCUAAUACCGGAUGACAUUCCCGCCCGCAUGGGCGGGGAUUGAAAGCUCCGGCGGUGAGGGAUGAGCCCGCGGCCUAUCAGCUUGUUGGUGAGGUAACGGCUCACCAAGGCGACGACGGGUAGCCGGCCUGAGAGGGCGACCGGCCACACUGGGACUGAGACACGGCCCAAACUCCUACGGGAGGCAGCAGUGGGGAAUAUUGCACAAUGGGCGCAAGCCUGAUGCAGCGACGCCGCGUGAGGGAUGACGGCCUUCGGGUUGUAAACCUCUUUCAGCAGGGAAGAAGCGCAAGUGACGGUACCUGCAGAAGAAGCGCCGGCUAACUACGUGCCAGCAGCCGCGGUAAUACGUAGGGCGCGAGCGUUGUCCGGAAUUAUUGGGCGUAAAGAGCUCGUAGGCGGCCUGUCGCGUCAAUUGUGAAAGCCCGGGGCUUAACCCCGGGUCUGCAGUCGAUACGGGCAGGCUAGAGUGUGGUAGGGGAGAUCGGAAUUCCUGGUGUAGCGGUGAAAUGCGCAGAUAUCAGGAGGAACACCGGUGGCGAAGGCGGAUCUCUGGGCCAUUACUGACGCUGAGGAGCGAAAGCGUGGGGAGCGAACAGGAUUAGAUACCCUGGUAGUCCACGCCGUAAAC
RNAcentral lists this ribosomal RNA (734 nucleotides) under Streptomyces sp. I08A-00443. RNAcentral's name for it is "bacterial SSU rRNA". It matches the Rfam family "Bacterial small subunit ribosomal RNA", at positions 56 to 807 of the family's 1533-position model. Lineage: Bacteria; Bacillati; Actinomycetota; Actinomycetes; Kitasatosporales; Streptomycetaceae. The record is from RNAcentral.